This 5157-nucleotide ribosomal RNA is filed under the name Triticum aestivum (bread wheat). RNAcentral's name for it is "partial small subunit ribosomal RNA". The record is from RNAcentral. Lineage: Eukaryota; Viridiplantae; Streptophyta; Magnoliopsida; Poales; Poaceae.
AUGGCCAGCCUCAACGCCAAGGCCAGCACCGGCCAUCUCCGCGUCUACGGUCCGGCGCUGCACGACUACGGCGCCCCGCUUAUGAAGGAGAGAGAUCAGGAAGCGUCACUCCUCCUCCUCAAGAUCCGGCAGCACUACGCGGAAGCCCUCAGGCGGCUCACCUUCCGGUGGCGCUCCGACGUCUGCUUGGGCGUCUGUGUCGGACUGCUCGACCCGGUCUCCAACAUAAUCGCCAGCACCCUCCUCGCCGCCGCAGAAGCUCCAGUUGACACGGACCCGACGGCGGUGGACGGGCCCAAGCUCAGGGACAUGGAGCGGCGCUCGCUCGACGGCCUCGUCGCCUUCCUCACCUGCUUCUUCCCUUACCUCGCCGAUUGGGAGGCCGUCAGGUGCUUCCGCGAAGGCUCCGCCGCCGCCCGCGGCGCCCUCAAGCUGGCCCUCCACUGCGCCAUGGUGGCCGCCAAGCACCCGUGUCCCUCGCAGCUCGCCGACGUGUGGCUGCUGCUCAGCUCCUCCCUCCACAAUGUCGUCCCCUUGCUCUCGGAUGUGCAGCCCAAUUUCCCCCGCGACAUCCUCCACAGCUUCCACACAUUGGUCAAGGAGACGGCACAUUUCCCACAUCCUCCUCCUGAUGGCAGCCUCGUCAGGCCAUGGAAACUUGCUGCCCGUUGCCGCAAGCACGCCGCCAAGCUGACCUACCAGCAUUCGUGGUCACUGACGCGAGUGCUCCUCGACACGAUCCAUGGAUUCUACCUGCAGGCUCUUGCCAGAUUGCCGGUUGGUUACCACCGCAGCCUGCUCGAUGCUGGACAUUGCUACGGCCCGUUCGACCCCGUCUGGAACAUCAUCGUCAACACCAUCUGGUACCAAGCCACCUUCCCACCACUGAGUCAGCAAGACGAGCUCGACAUUGUCGGCACAUUGUGCCUAAUGCGGAUUGAAGCACGAUCCUUCUACGGACUUGUCUCCUUCCUCUGCACCUGUUACCAAGAUCUCGACACCGAUCAGGCCAUAAGGUUCCUGCUCGACACGGCACUCAAUUUGUCCGCGACAAAGCACUGCAGCAGUGUCAAGGAAGAACAAGAAGCCUACCGGGCUGCUGCCAUUGCGGCAUGGCACCCCAGACCCGACGCCCAAGCAGGAUUCCUCAGUUCAUUAAAGGCGAUGUUGGUAGCGCCUCAUGUCCUGUCACUGCUACAAGAUGGAGGCCAGUAUCAGCUCUCCUCUCAGUGUGUCCACCAGCUACUCACGCUAUUGUGCUCUGAAUACCAUUCCAUUGUUGGUGUCCCAACCCAUCAGCAGAGGCCAGCUCCCAUUUCUGAACGACAGUUCCAUUUUACCAUGUCUGAGGGACGUAAACAGCGAAGGGCUCAUAGAAGGAUCUCCGCAAAGGUCAAGGCUGCACUAAGGAGAUAUGAGAAGCAGAAUACAGGACACUCUUAUCAGCUUCAUGUGGUGUGUGGUGUAAAUGAAUGUGUGUCAGGACUAGUCUGCUGCCUUUUCUGCGAGCAUCAAGGAAUCAGGAUUGUGCACCCGGCCUUGGAGAGAUUCCAUGGGCACGAGGCAGAGUUCGAGAAGAUGGUCCGCGGAGGAAAUCUGUACAAUAAUGACUACUAUCCGGAGGGCGACAUCGAGCCCUACACCAACCAUCAAAUCUUAAAGCACAGUGAGUAUGUUGCCAAGUGGGUGCACGACGGACUCGACGAGGACUGCAUGUACCUCGGUAGCAAUGACUUCAACAUCGAGGAAGAUGAAAGCGAUGAGGAGGUUGACGAUCUGGAGGAGACAAUGCCAAGGAAGCGUAAAGGAGAUGACGAUGGAAUCGAUGAGGUUCCUUCGAAGAAGGCGAAACGCCCUCCUCCGCGGAACAGAGCCUCACCCAGUUCGCUUCUUCUAGCAUGCAAGGACGUGAAUGAUGACAGGAAGGGUGCCAUUGAUGAUAUGGAUUUAACUAGCCUUCGAAAUAUCCAAUGUGACCAUCUAUUCAACAAUCUCAGUGUGUGGCUUGCUGAUCUCUACGACCCCAAUUCGCGUGAGGUGGUCGUACCAGGCCGAGGCAGGCUUCCGGUCAAUGAAGAAUACGUGCAUCGUGUUAUGGGUGUGCCGCGUGGAGGGAAUUAUGUCCCUUACAACCUCUCAUCUGAAACUGAUAUUGAGUUAGGGCUUGAGUUGUUUGGCGAGCUCGGAUAUGCCCCUAAAAUGACUGAUCUUGUUGAUCUCAUAAAGGGUUCUGAAAAUUCUGAUGACACUUUCAAGCGUAUGUGGCUUCUGCUUGCGGGGAAUACAGUCAUUGCCCCGACCACCUCCAAUAAAGUUAGCCCCCGUUGGUAUGCUGUGCUGCGUGACAUCAAUGGUGUUAAGAAUCUCAAUUGGUCCAAAUUUAUUGCUGAUGAACUGCACAAGGCGCUGUUGAAACGCAAGCCUACCAGGGGUUGCCUUCUUUUCUACAAUCUGUUGUACAUUCAUGCGAUUGAUCUUUCUGGACUUGGCAUCGAACUGCCUGAUGGUCCUUUUCCCAUCAAUGUAUGGACAAAGAAGCUGAUAACUCUUGUCCUCAACAAGGAUGUUCAGGCUGACAAAGUUUCUUUCGGGAAACUACCGUUGAAGCCUGAGUUUGGCAUGAAUUUCUGUCUCUUUGGUGGUGUGGAAGGUCUUGACAAGUUUAUGCGUGUUCAUACUGCCCCAAGCUGCAGUGAAGAGAAAUUUGCCAAAUUAACUCAGAUAGUUGCUCGAUUCACGUCCGCCAUGGCUGGCAUCCUAGGCAAUCUUGUGGAAUCAUUCACCGCUUUAGAUGAUGAGGGCCAUUCACAUGCAUCUCGUCAGCUAGACGCUGGAUUGAACGUUAUCUCCUCUGCCGCCCGUACGACGUCAAGGACUACACGGUCAUCGCAAGGCAGGCGGACAGAAAGUGCUGGAAAGAAUGUGGCUGAAGAUUCUGACAGCGAUGACGAUUAUCACGGAGGCGAUGAUUCUGAUUCUAACGCUGACUCCGAUGAUGAUGAUGAUGACUAUCGAGUUGUUCGUCGUCGCCCUAAAGAUCCUUUUGUUGCUUCAGGCAGUGGUACCGUGGAUGUAGACAUGGGCAGCGGUCCAGCUGAUGAUGAGACCACACAUCUUGAUGGUGCAACUGUCAAAGCCCAUGAUGCCACAGGACCAAAUGUUGAAGACACCCCUGUCUGCCCUGCCGGCGAUAACCUCGUUGAGUCUCAGAUCUUACUCACUAGAACAUCUCAUGCAGCAUCCGUCGAAUCAGCUGUGCCUGCCAGCCCAUCGCAAAGGCCGUCUUCACCAAUUGCACUGUCAGCAUAUGAGAUUCAUGAAGCUGUGAAGAAAGUUGUGGUCCAGGAGCUUGGUAUACGCGUGGCUGAAAAGGGAACCGGUGCCUCUGUCCCACUGUCCACUUUGCGGCAGGAGGCCCCACGCAGGGCCCCCGGCAAACAAUCUGUUGCUGCUAAGGAUUCAGGGAUUGCACCAGUGAAAAGUGCACCUAUGAAACAAGUUGCUGCUGCUAAGGGUUCUCCAAGUGAACCAGGAAAAAGUCGUUCAAAAGAUAAAAGUGCAGUGAAAAAGGUGAAAUUCGCCAAGACCAGAUCCUCUCCACGACUAAGGGCAACAUUGUCCCAGACAACGUCAUCGGAGACAACAGAAGUUAUCCAUCUUGAUGAAUCUCCCACGGCGACAUCUCCGUCUGAAAAAGCAGCAGCAUCUAGCGAGGGUGCAUCUGAUGCUGUUGCGGCGACAUCGGCUGGUGUUUCUGAUGACGCUGUUUUUCAGCUAGCUGCAGCGGCAAUUGUUACUGCUGCUGUUGAAGAUAUCGCCAGCGUGACUGUAGCUAUUGAAUGCGAAAAUGAAGUCGUCCCUAAUAUAGCGCAUGAUGGAAGUGAAGCUGAGAAAGUUAUGGGAAGUACCAGAGACAAUAUGCCUACUGAUACGGCUACAGCUGGAGGUGAAAAGAAUGAUGCCGAUAAUCCUGUUGUCACAGCAGUAGCUGACCAUGCAUUGGAGUUGAGCACCCCUGGAGCUGGAAACUACGAUGGUAAUUUUACGCCACCCAGCUGCUCUCUUGGGCUGGAUGACAUCUUUGGUGCGAGUCCUCAAGUGCCACCAUCUACUAAAGCAACUGCAACGGCUCAAGCUGCACCAACGUUGGCUCAAGUACCACCUGCAGCACCAGAAGCACCUGCGGCGGCGCCAUAUGCUCAAGUACCACCUGCAGCACUAGAAGCACCUGUGGCGGCGCCAUCUGCUCAAGUACCACCUGCAGAACCAGCUACUGGCCGUGACGCCGUUUUAGGGCUCGCAGCUCCUGUUGAUGCUGACUCGAAGGGCAAGGCAUUGAUGAAAGUUACCAAGGCUCAACCGGUUGCUUGGGCUCCGCCACCCAACAACUCUGACAACCCCCAAAGUCCAACAUUUGUUACACCAGAGUUACCACCUCGCACAGAGCAUUUAGUACGCAGUUCAACACCUAAAUCCUUUAUUCGGAAAGUUAGGGUCACCCACCCGUCCAAAUACCUGCUCCCACCUUUUGCCACCCUCACACCGAGCGAGGAGGCAGAGUACGUUUACAAUGAAGUUAUCAAGCAUACUACUGAUUCUAACUCUAAGAUUAAAGAUCUUAGGGUCAUCAACAUUGAUGGUAGGUGGGUUACCCUUGGUGAGCUUGCCAAUUGUGUGAAGGGAGUUGGGCAACUAUCAACCAGCAUUGCCGAGUUACAUGUUCGCGUUCUCCAGUAUAAGGAAACGUCAAACAGGCUCAUCUUCCCUUGGGUGCUCUUUGUGUAUCUGUUGUUAGGAGACUUCAAAUCCAAGUGUUUACUGAAGUAUUUUCGACGGGACAAGUUUUACAUUCUUAGUCACCAGGAUCAGCUGCUAUUCCCUGCUUUGCAAAAGUUGGACCACGGUCCAGAUGGCGGGCAUUGGUAUGUGUUGUCACUAAAUCUUAGGGCGAAGCGGUUUGAAGUUCUAGAUUCAUUGUGUGACCAAGAUAGUCCUUCUCUUCUCGAGCAUGCGACAAGAUACAUGAACGCAAUAAAGAAGGCCUGGUUGAUAAAUUACAAGGACUCGCAUAAGCAGAUUGAGGACUAUGAACUUGUGUACAUUGAUGUGUUGAAACAGGAAAAUGGGUUAGUUGUGGAUUACUCACUCUCUUUUUAA